This 253-nucleotide ribosomal RNA is filed under the name uncultured bacterium. RNAcentral describes it as "partial 16S ribosomal RNA". It matches the Rfam family "Bacterial small subunit ribosomal RNA", at positions 524 to 776 of the family's 1533-position model. The record is from RNAcentral.
UACGAAGGGGACUAGCGUUGUUCGGAAUCACUGGGCGUAAAGCGCACGUAGGCGGAUGUGUCAGUCAGGGGUGAAAUCCCGGGGCUCAACCUCGGAACUGCCUUUGAUACAGCACGUCUCGAGUCCGGAAGAGGUGGGUGGAAUUCCUAGUGUAGAGGUGAAAUUCGUAGAUAUUAGGAAGAACACCGGUGGCGAAGGCGGCCCACUGGUCCGGUACUGACGCUGAGGUGCGGAAGCGUGGGGAGCAAACAGG